Molecule: long non-coding RNA, 1420 nt
Organism: Neopsephotus bourkii (Bourke's parrot)
Lineage: Eukaryota; Metazoa; Chordata; Aves; Psittaciformes; Psittacidae
Exons: 2
Source: RefSeq, a predicted model, not a curated record
GCGGGGAACCGGGCCCGCCGCGCCCGCUCACCCGCGCUUGGCCUGGGGCGGGCCACGGCGCCCGCUCGCCUGCACUUGGGGUGUCCUCGGAUCCGGUGGCGGAGCAAGGGGUUGAACCGGGCGGUUCGGGGGCGAGGGGCAGUGGGACGCGGGCGGCGGGGGAGGGCGGGGGUGCCCAGGCGUCCCUGGCUUGAAAUCAGCUCAGGCUGUGGACCCGUGAGCGCGAUCGGCGGUGUAUGUCGGUGUUUUGCUGUGGGAGGUGAUCUAAAGUCCGUCUAUGCUGAAGUUUGCCCCUCCGGCACAGUGCGGGAGCGCGCUGUGCUUGGGCUGUACGUAGUUCCUUUAGGAAAACAAACAGUUUCACCAUAUGUUCUCCCUUUCUUUCCGAUUACUGAGCAUAGGAAAGGCUGGGGCUUGUGAGAUCUCUUUUUAACAGCUCCUUUUAAAGGAAAGUAAUGGGCAACCUGAAAAUUAAUUCUGUUAAUUCAUUACAUUGUUAGGGCAAAAGUAUUAAGUAGCCUGGAACAGGGAGGUGAUAUUUUUAAGCCUUAAAAUUGAGACAUGUAGUUAAAGUCAAAUCUGCUAACAGUUGUCAGUGUAGCCAUAUGUAACUGAUUGACUCUUCAUUGUUACACAGGAGAAAACUGCCCCCCCCCCCCCCCCCCCAAACCACCCUGAAGCUUAACUGAGUUUCUUCUGUGCCUUGUUAUGUUACUGUUUAACCACUUAAGGGCAGGCCUUGUAGGUGAAGGUUAAUAGCAUUGGAAAAAUUACCUGAGGAGCUUCAUGCUGCUCCGCCAUCAUUAAUGUCAUCUUGGUUCUUUCAGAGCUCUUUGCCUUUCUGAUGAAGAAGUCUUUGGUCUGCUAGCCUUAUUCCUUUCCCUCCACCUCACCUUCUAAAUAAUCUGGACUGCAGGUAUGGAAACAAACCUAAAGCUGGAGGUAGCCUCACUAGCUAGGAGGAGGAUUUUGGGUGGUCAAACAUGUUCUGACAAAGUUCCACAAGAUAAAUUACCCACCAGUUAGAUGACAAUGAGCAGGUUGUAACAUCAAAGUUUUGAGAGAUGAAGUAGUAAAGCAGAAGAUGAAUACAGAAAGAAAAUGCAGUAGAAGGGGUCAGAUGUCAUGAAAAUAGGUUGCUCUGGGUUUUUUGAUUUGUCUUUUUCUUUAUUUCAGAUAAAAUAAUGGGAUUCUUAAUCUACAUUCCUCACCUGGGGACACUGUGUGCUUUUUUUAAACACCCUAAUAGCUAGUUCUGUUCUAGCAGCAGUACUGCAGAAGUUUUCAGCUUGUAGGUGUAAUUUCUAACUGACAUGAUGUUGUAAUAAAGAUAUGAGAGUAUCAGCUCCCACUUAACCUGCAUACUAUAUAUCUAAUGUUUGAUAUGCUGUCCAUUAAAAUAAAAGUCUUGAAUUCUUGA